This 74-nucleotide transfer RNA is filed under the name Chloroflexota bacterium. Its description in RNAcentral is "Chloroflexi bacterium tRNA-Gly". It matches the Rfam family "tRNA". From Rfam's summary of the family: Transfer RNA (tRNA) molecules are approximately 80 nucleotides in length. RNAcentral also lists the same sequence under 1 other name. The record is from RNAcentral. Lineage: Bacteria; Bacillati; Chloroflexota.
GCGGGAGUAGCUCAGCCUGGUAGAGCAUUUGGUUCCCAACCAAAGGGUCGCGGGUCCGAAUCCCGUCUCCCGCU